Long non-coding RNA from Zingiber officinale, 685 nucleotides. RefSeq lists it as uncharacterized. The transcript is spliced from 3 exons. Lineage: Eukaryota; Viridiplantae; Streptophyta; Magnoliopsida; Zingiberales; Zingiberaceae. The record is from RefSeq and is a predicted model, not a curated record.
GACGCCCAUUUUCCCUAACCGACGUCGGACGGUUUCCCUUCUCCUUCUCCUUGCGAUUUAAGCCGUGCCCGACUCCCUCCUCCCCUUUCCUCACCGUGCCCUUCUCCCGAACUCACUAUCUCCUCCACCUGAAGCCAGGCCGCUCGACCUCGCGCGCAUGCCCUCACACCUCUGCCGCCGGUGACAAGAGCCCCGAUUCUUCUCAUUUGGCCGACGUGACGUCCACCCUCGAUCCGCCGGCAUCCGAGCCAUAGCGCCGCUGUCAUCGUCACAACCGAUGCCGCAUGGAGUAGUGCCGACCCAACGCCGCCGAACUCGCGUGCCCUAGCCGAAUUCCUUCCACUGCCGGCACCGAUUCCUCCAACACUGAACAACAUCGCGGCCACCCCUCCCCCCAAAUCCAGAGCUGUGCCCUAACCUUCUCCUCUGGCCCCCCUCUUCUUGUCCUCUACACUGUGCGCCGCCUCCCCUGUUGACACGGUGCCCUAGAUCACCGAAAACAAGAAGUUGGAGAAGAUGACAACGAGCGGCAGUAAUCUGACAGUGGGAUUGAAGAGUCCUGGUCUCCAGCAGCGGCUACUCCUUUCGGCGGCACUAUCCCUAGAUGUGGAUCAACAACAGCUGUGAAUUGAGGACCUUGACGCGAGACGAGCAUCUCGACGUCGGAUUUGGACCGGUUUGACCU